RNAcentral lists this ribosomal RNA (196 nucleotides) under Hemimysis anomala. RNAcentral's name for it is "partial 28S ribosomal RNA". It matches the Rfam family "Eukaryotic large subunit ribosomal RNA", at positions 727 to 903 of the family's 3401-position model. Lineage: Eukaryota; Metazoa; Arthropoda; Malacostraca; Mysida; Mysidae. The record is from RNAcentral.
GUUUGUUUGGACACCGAGGGCCGAUCCGGCGGAUUCAUCCGCUGGCGCAGGCUCGGGACUUGCGCUCCCCAUUGUGGGAGGUGAGUACCAUGAGUGCACCUGGUAGUACCCGAAAGAUGGUGAACUAUGCCUGGCCAGGACGAAGCCAGAGGAAACUCUGGUGGAGGUCCGUAGCGAUUCUGACGGCAAAUCGAUA